This 392-nucleotide ribosomal RNA is filed under the name uncultured Glomus. RNAcentral's name for it is "SSU rRNA". It matches the Rfam family "Eukaryotic small subunit ribosomal RNA", at positions 569 to 966 of the family's 1831-position model. Lineage: Eukaryota; Fungi; Glomeromycota; Glomeromycetes; Glomerales; Glomeraceae. The record is from RNAcentral.
AGCAGCCGCGGUAAUUCCAGCUCCAAUAGCGUAUAUUAAAGUUGUUGCAGUUAAAAAGCUCGUAGUUGAAUUUCGGGAUCAAUAUAUCGGUCGUGCCAUUGGUACGUACUGGUAUCAUUGGUUUCUCCUUUCUGACGAACCAUGAUGUCAUUAAUUUGGUGUUAUGGGAAGUUAGGACUGUUACUUUGAAAAAUUAGAGUGUUUAAAGCAGGCUUUAGCUUGAAUACAUUAGCAUGGAAUAAUGAAAUAGAACGUUCGAACCUAUUUUGUUGGUUUCUAGGAUCAACGUAAUGAUUAAUAGGGAUAGUUGGGGGCAUUAGUAUUCAAUUGUCAGAGGUGAAAUUCUUGGAUUUAUUGAAGACUAACUACUGCGAAAGCAUUUGCCAAGGAUG